RNAcentral lists this ribosomal RNA (467 nucleotides) under uncultured bacterium. RNAcentral describes it as "partial 16S ribosomal RNA". It matches the Rfam family "Bacterial small subunit ribosomal RNA", at positions 28 to 507 of the family's 1533-position model. The record is from RNAcentral.
GACGAACGCUGGCGGCGUGCUUAACACAUGCAAGUCGAACGGAAAGGCCCUGCUUUUGUGGGGUGCUCGAGUGGCGAACGGGUGAGUAACACGUGAGUAACCUGCCCUUGACUUUGGGAUAACUUCAGGAAACUGGGGCUAAUACCGGCUAGGAGCUCCUGCUGCAUGGUGGGGGUUGGAAAGUUUCGGCGGUUGGGGAUGGACUCGCGGCUUAUCAGCUUGUUGGUGGGGUAGUGGCUUACCAAGGCUUUGACGGGUAGCCGGCCUGAGAGGGUGACCGGCCACAGUGGGACAGAGAUACGACCCAGACUCCUACGGGAGGCAGCAGUGGGGAAUAGUGCACGAUGGGCGGAAGGCUGAUGCAGCAACGCCGCGUGCGGGAUGACGGCCUUCGGGUUGUAACCGCUUUCGCCUGUGACGAAGCGUGAGUGACGGUAAUGGGUAAAGAAGCACCGGCUAACUACGUG